GCUAAAACCCCGCAGGCUACCAAGAUGACACCAUGCCAAAAUGGACGACCGCAAUGAAGUUGGCAGUUAAAGAUAACGUGCAAGUGACGAAGUAGCUACCAGUUACCGUCCACCCGGAGCAGUACACAUCCAGGUCGUUUACUUCACCUACAUGUACGUUAAGACCCACUCUCUUUAUAUGAUACGCCCUCCACGCCACUUUUGGGAUCCUUGGUUAGGCGGGUUAGGAGCUCGGGGCGUAGGGAGAGGUGAAGGGUAAGCGGUCGGGUUAGGAAGGUGGAGGGAGGAGGGGUGGAGGGGUGGGCCGCCGCGGAAGAGGGUGGAGGGUGGAGGGUGCCGGAGGAAAGUACCGCCAUGGGGCUGGAUUACCUAGAAGUGCCAGAAGUAAGCCCGGACCAGUCGGCCACGUCUACCUCACCUCACCGUCUACGCGCACGAGAACCCGCAACGGCCGCUCUCUUCCGCCCCUCCUCGAGACGGGUUGGGAAAGUACCUCGAGCGAGUCGGCGGCCGGCUGGCACCACCUCUUCUACCGCUGCCGUCUGCUAUCAAGGGGUACCACUCCACUAGAGAGGGUAUGGGAGGAAGGAGAGUGGAGAGGGAGUUCUAGGGCAAGACCUUGCUCUACCUACUUCCACUGGUGGGUCGACCAACUGAGCGACGGUGCGCAUCCGGUGGAGACGGGCGUGCAACUCCAACUCCGUGUGGUAGAAUCCUCGCACCUGAGUUCACUGCAACUCUUAGGACCCUUGUUAUAACAGUACUGACCAAAGAGUAGAGUAGAUUGACUGACUCUAGAUCUCUUCGUGAAAAGAUGUCUCCCUCUCCACUAACUACGUUCAUAUCAUGAACUAGGUACCUGUUCCCAUAGUGCUCCUAAACCUAAAUAAUGGUACCCAUGAGAAUUCCUCCGUCUUGCAACGUAGUUUAUAGAAUUGAUAAGUCACGAUCUUCAAGCAUAGUAAUAACAACUCUUCCGUUCCAGCUUGGGGUUGUGGCUCUUCCAUAGAACCGUGGUUUAGUAGCGCUCUUCUUCCCUACACAACCACACGUGCUCCACAAUUAUGAAUUAUUUCAAAACGUAAGAAACAAGACCACCUAAACCACGCAAACCAACGGUAGAUACGACUUAAAAAAAGGAAUCUAACAAGACCACAAAAACCACGUUUGACUAAUUCCUCCCGGAUCCUCAAACAGUUCAAACGGUACAUACGGAUUAUGUUAAAAGAAUCGAACGAUGACGUUAACAUACUAACACUAGGGUCAUCCAGUUCUGAUGUAAACACAACAACUUGGCUCUAAGCGAUUCGAACCGUCUCUCCUAUUGAAAAAGAAAACGUCUAUUGACCCGAGAUUUUCUAAGUUAUCAAUGUACACCAAAACAUAGACGUCAAACAAACGUACAUAAAAAAACUCCAAAAACUACUGGUCUUAAUACUUUAAAAGAACCAAUUUUAGAAAUAUACACCGUACUAGAGACUUUUGUUUUAUCUCAUUAUAUCAAAGGAAGUUCGACGGUAACGUUAUCUUCUACUUCACAUAGAAGUACUAGUCAUCUAGGCACGCACUACGGCGGACAACAUCAAGAUAGCGAUACGUCUGUACAAGUUCUUUACGUUCAUUAUAUCAAAACUACUACAGACUCACAUAGAACACAUACACGUCUAUUUCGUUGGAACAAGUCUUCACGAAAUAGUUCAAGGACAUUUUUUCGAAAGAUCUAUAUUGUAAUACAAAUGUCAAAGCGAGCCGAAGGGAUUAGGGUUUCCAUUAUUAUACUAAGGAAAUACAACAAACGGGUCUAAGUCUUCACUUAAAAACGCCAUAUAAACGAACAACACACAUGACAUUUAAGAUUCGAAAGAUCCGUAUGUACACGUGCACAUAAAAAAUCCAUGAUUAUAAUAAAGAAAUACAACAUUUGAGAUCCACAGAACAUUUGAGAAUUCGAAAGAUCCGCAAGUACAUGUACACAUAAAAAAAUCCAUUAUUAUACUAAAGACAGACACCAAACGGGUUUAAGUCUUCACUUGAAACGACAUAUAAACGAGCUACACACAGUACAUUUGAGAUUCCUAAGAUCCGCAUGUAUGUGUACACAUAAACAACUUAAUAGAUGGAAUACUGACGUGUCUGGCAAAUUUGUUUGGCACUGGGGAAGAAGAUACAUUGUGGAUAAAAAAUAACAGGUAGUUCGGGGUAAAAAAACGCCAACGUCGGUGGACUAGUGAUGUGACUUACUCAUUCAUCCUGUAAUAAAUACUACCAGCAAGAAGGAAAGUGCAGAGGGUUAUACGUUAAAAACAAAGUCCGUCGGGAUUACAUUGAAAACUCUAGCUUGUAUAUUUCCUGCGAUGCGAUGGGCGGCAAGACCUCCGUAACGCUCGCGAGACACAAAAACUGGCGGGCUAGCUAAUGGAUGUCACUAACAAACCGACGAUCGCUGACCAGUUGGCAGGUGAUAAAAGGUUCGAGUACCGGCGAAGUUCUCUCCUACUGUACACCCCAGCACUCCGACGCCCCCGGUCGCUCGUCUCCCACCCAAAGCGACCUCCGUGCACUUACUAAGGAGAAACUUUUUGGAUCGCGUGGUCCUCGGGUUCUGGUUAGGAGAAGGAGGAGCUCGGGGUGUGGUGAGGCGGGGCAGGACGGAGGGGACGAGGAGAGCGCGGCGGCGGAAGAGAGUACCGGGAGAAGGGGCCGCGAGCUCGUCGUCGCCCCCGAGGUGAUCAUGCUAGAUCGGUCUUGUCCACGUCCAGCGGCCGUAGGCCGCGGUGCGCUGCACUAAGACCUAGCCCGCGUCUAGAGACAGUCCUAUCAUCCUAACCGACGACGUUACUCUCGUCGUCUACUUGGGUGGAACAGCUCGGGGUUGGGCCGCCGAUGGACGUCUCCUCCUCUCCAGUUCCUACCGAGGGUAGUGGGCAGUGUCCAUCCCAAUCGCUCCUCCUCCAACAGGCGUUUCUCCGUCACACCACCGAUCCGUCGGUGGAGAGGGGAGGAGGAGGGUUGUUCACCGCCGAGCUACCAGGUACCGCAGUAGCAGCAGUAGGAACCAUCAUCCUCGUACCCGGCGUCUCUUCCGGCCGAGAACGCACCAGCAAACAGGUGAGCUCUUCGGGCGGGCGGGUGGGCAGUAGGUGCGGGGACGAGGAAUCCGGCAAGAACAGGGAAGUCCGUCCACUCGAGGAAAGAGGAGAGAACGGGGGAAACUAAAACACGACCAUCUACACAAACAACAACCAAAACGACGACGGACGACGGUCCGAAGCGACGACGAACCGGACUGAGACGAACACAACGAUGAUACACGAUGAUACACAACAACCAACGGAGGAAUAAACCAAUAAACACUUAGACUUUUGUGGAACACUCUUCGUUACUAACUCCUCUUCCGAUAUAUUCGGUUACUCUUCUCGAAGUAAGAGUCCCAAAAAAUUCUUAAUUACUUCCUGUACAGUAUACAAGUCAACGAUUGUAAGAGAGAUACCACAUACGUGAACAACAAGUAACGUAACCUCCCUCUCCUUAUGUGAAACACUCUUCGUCCCUAACUUCUCUUCCGAUACUCCGUUACUCUUUUCGAAUUAUAAAGCAAAAAAUAAAUUCUUAACUACUUCCGGUGGUGGUGGAUGGAUGACUGAUACAAAUACGUACAGACACAACACUACACGUGUCCUCGUACUAAACAAGACCGUGAAUUUCGUAAUUGUGCGGAUAUUAUGUCCGGAACUCAGAUGUUUCAUAGGAUUUGUAACACACACACACACACACACACACACACACUUCACAGUCACGAAGACACAUCCUUGAUCCUUCAGAUUAUCCCACACAAAGGUAAAGAAAACGGAAAGACUAGUCGUGUUAACCGGGUCCUACGCACAUUCGAAACAAGACUACUCCUUCGACUGACACACGCAGUAGUCAAAUAGCGGCAGUCGACCUAGAAACUUCGGUACGCUGCGAGUUGAAAUCACUGACCACAUCGCAGGUCCUAAAAUAGGAUUUGACGAUAAUUUGAGUGUUCUCCCUCGUAAAAUUAUUAUUGUCUUGAGAUCGGUACGAAGGACUGUAUGAUGUAUAUACGUACAACAUGAUUGUCAAGGAUAAAAAAUUGAUAACGCAUGGUCUUUUAACUUAACCGUUAUAGACGUAUUUAUACUACAUAAUUUAAUACAAUACUCUCCCUAAACAAAUUAAAGUUUUGAUUCCUUCAACCUACUCGAAUUUCGUGGAUAAGUGGCCAAUUGACUUGAAAGGAUUAACAUAAAAUUUAGGUGUUCUCCCGUUUUAGUAACGAGUAAGGGUCUAGUAGAUUUAGUCUACCUACCCGAGGUUUGAGGGUCACGUUAAAAAAACUCUUAGUGGGGGCCACGGUAAACAACAAACCUGGCUACCGUGAUACCUCUCCACUCAAACACUGAUAUGUAAGAACAGGAUGUACACUUAACUUUUAUAUAACAGAGACAUACACUUACAUUUAUAGGUCCAUACAUUCGUUCAGGAUUGAAAAUAAAUGUAUAAAUAGAUACUUUACGUACGUUCGUACAGUGUUGAAAUGUCUGUUAACGGGGGAGUAUCCAUUUGGGCUACUAAUUAUUUAAUUGGCCGACCUCUAGCCAACGGGGGAAUAUCCAUUUAGCCUACUAAGUAUUUAAUUGGCCGACCUCUAGCCAUCUGUCAGUUCACAUAACUAUCGACCUAAAAAUCUCGAGUUUUAGGAAGAUUGAAAAGAUGACUGACAUAAAAGAACUGUCGAAAGUCUCUUCUUGUUCAUGACAAUCAGUAAGAGACUGUACAUAUUAUAUUAUGAUCUCUACACUUACCUACAUCAAGUAAAUCAUCUCAUAAUCAUCUGCUACUAAUGAAAGGAAGUGAUUUACUAUACAAAUCAGUCAAGGGUUUAAUUAAACAUUUCAUG
RNAcentral lists this ribosomal RNA (4921 nucleotides) under Triticum aestivum (bread wheat). Its description in RNAcentral is "partial small subunit ribosomal RNA". The record is from RNAcentral. Lineage: Eukaryota; Viridiplantae; Streptophyta; Magnoliopsida; Poales; Poaceae.